RNAcentral lists this ribosomal RNA (331 nucleotides) under uncultured bacterium. RNAcentral describes it as "bacterial SSU rRNA". It matches the Rfam family "Bacterial small subunit ribosomal RNA", at positions 568 to 898 of the family's 1533-position model. The record is from RNAcentral.
UACGUAGACGGUUGGAUAAGUCGGAUGUGAAAGCCCCGGGCUCAACCUGGGAAUGGCAUUCGAGACUGUUCAGCUAGGGUGCGGAAGAGGGAAGCGGAAUUUCCGGUGUAGCGGUGAAAUGCGUAGAUAUCGGAAGGAACACCAGUGGCGAAAGCGGCUUCCUGGUCCAGCACCGACGUUCAGGUACGAAAGCAUGGGGAGCAAACAGGAUUAGAUACCCUGGUAGUCCAUGCCAUAAACGAUGAGGACUAGGCGUUGAGAGGGUAAGCCUCGCAGUGUCGUAGCUAACGCGCUAAGUCCUCCGCCUGGGGAGUACGGCCGCAAGGUUGAA